Molecule: long non-coding RNA, 100 nt
Organism: Priapulus caudatus
Lineage: Eukaryota; Metazoa; Priapulida; Priapulimorpha; Priapulimorphida; Priapulidae
Exons: 3
Source: RefSeq, a predicted model, not a curated record
UUAGUCACGUCUACGCUAGUGGGGCGGAUAUGUGACAUUUUUUACUUAAAGUGUGCACUUCUGGAAAGAAGCAUGAAAAUUUGCUCUAGGGGGGUUUUGA